RNAcentral lists this ribosomal RNA (497 nucleotides) under uncultured bacterium. RNAcentral's name for it is "bacterial SSU rRNA". It matches the Rfam family "Bacterial small subunit ribosomal RNA", at positions 791 to 1286 of the family's 1533-position model. The record is from RNAcentral.
UAGUCCACGCCGUAAACGAUGAUUACUAGGUGUAGGAGGUAUCGACCCCUUCUGUGCCGCAGCUAACGCAAUAAGUAAUCCGCCUGGGGAGUACGACCGCAAGGUUGAAACUCAAAGGAAUUGACGGGUCCCCGCACAAGCAGCGGAGCAUGUUGUUUAAUUCGAAGCAACGCGAAGAACCUUACCAGGGCUUGACAUCUACAGAAUCCUUUAGAGAUAGAGGAAUGCCUUUUUGGAACUGUAAGACAGGUGGUGCAUGGCUGUCGUCAGCUCGUGUCGUGAGAUGUUGGGUUAAGUCCCAUAACGAGCGCAACCCUUAUCAUUAGUUGCCAUCGGGUCAUGCCGGGGACUCUAAUGAGACUGCCAGUGUAAACUGUGAGGAAGGUGGGGAUGACGUCAAAUCAGCACGGCCCUUAUGUCCAGGGCUACACACGUGUUACAAUGGUCGAUACAAAGGGCAGCUACCUGGUGACAGGAUGCUAAUCUCAAAAGUCGAU